CCGGCCGCGAGCCUUGGCACGGUAGAGCGCGUUGUCGGCGCGCCGGAGGAGAUCGGCGAGGUCGCGGCCGAGUUCGGUGCUCGACAGCCCGA
This 92-nucleotide transfer RNA is filed under the name Aureimonas glaciei. RNAcentral describes it as "tRNA-Asp". The record is from RNAcentral. Lineage: Bacteria; Pseudomonadati; Pseudomonadota; Alphaproteobacteria; Hyphomicrobiales; Aurantimonadaceae.